Long non-coding RNA from Venturia canescens, 846 nucleotides. RefSeq lists it as uncharacterized. NCBI's taxonomy places the organism in Eukaryota, Metazoa, Arthropoda, Insecta, Hymenoptera, Ichneumonidae. The record is from RefSeq and is a predicted model, not a curated record. The transcript is spliced from 2 exons.
GUGAAACUAUAUAUAAAAAUAUAUUUAAAUAGAAACAAAUAUAAAUGAAAGGAGAAGACACCACGUGAUCCCACAUUCUCGCAACAAUUGUUAAUAUGAAGUGACGGCUCUUGGUGAAAAUAAAUGUCAAAAAAUAUUAUUCCAUUACGUUCCUGCAUAAUUACGAAAAGCAGAAAUUUUCAGUGACCUUGUAAACUUGUGACUAUGACGAAUCAUGAAACUAUUGAGUGUGUAAUUAAUUAAUGAGAGUGCGGCUGGAAUUUUUUUCACAAUACAAUAUAAACAACGUCAGAGUCGCAGUUGCGACUGGAAAACAAGUGCAUUCACGAACGAGUUUGCUUCAAGACUUUUUACAACGAAAGCCGCGUUUGCAACUUUAUUGAAAAAAUGUUUCCGCGAUAUUUCGAUGGACAGCGUUCAAUGUUCAGGGUUCACGGAAUUUUUCUUCGAUCGUGACUACUCGAAACAGAUUUGAUAUUUACUUCGCAUUACCCUCAUUUCGGUUAGCCGGAAAAUCUUUUUAAAAGAUAAAUCACAAAUCUCUGGAAUAAGCUCUGCCUCAUUUGUGAACCAAUAUUUCGAGUAUUUGAACUUAGCUUGAGAUAAAAAAUAUUUUUCUAGACCAUCCAACAAUAGACUGGACCAAUGUAGUUUGAAAAAUCUUCGUCACAAGAGAUGAGCUCGUAAAAAAAUUAUUUGGAGAUCCGAACGGAUAACUUUCUCCAAAGUCCUUGUCAGUUCAGUGUGUGAGCCAAGUGUAGUUGCAUACGAAUGCUAAAGUGAAAAAUUAAAUAGUAUAAUACGUAGCUACGCUGCAUGCCCGCAUUUGAGUAAUUGAUAGAAAAA